GCCUCAUCCUCCUCUCCUCGAAACGUUACUCUGACUCUCGGUUUCAACCGCAGCGUCAACAGAAAGCCCAGCAGCUCCUCUCAUCUGUAGUUCACGUUGCUCAAGUUCAGUUGGUGAUGGGAAGCACAGCAUCAACAUCGACAUCAACAUCUCGUUCUGAACAUCAAAGCAGCUCGAGGUCUGUGGACGAAGUACCCACUGACAUG
Non-coding RNA from Maylandia zebra (zebra mbuna), 206 nucleotides. NCBI's taxonomy places the organism in Eukaryota, Metazoa, Chordata, Actinopteri, Cichliformes, Cichlidae. The record is from RefSeq and is a predicted model, not a curated record.